AUGCUGGAGGUAUCAGAAGUGCGAAUGCUGACAUAAGUAACGAUAAAGCGGGUGAAAAGCCCGCUCGCCGGAAGACCAAGGGUUCCUGUCCAACGUUAAUCGGGGCAGGGUGAGUCGACCCCUAAGGCGAGGCCGAAAGGCGUAGUCGAUGGGAAACAGGUUAAUAUUCCUGUACUUGGUGUUACUGCGAAGGGGGGACGGAGAAGGCUAUGUUGGCCGGGCGACGGUUGUCCCGGUUUAAGCGUGUAGGCUGGUUUUCCAGGCAAAUCCGGAAAACUAAGGCUGAGGCGUGAUGACGAGGCACUACGGUGCUGAAGCAACAAAUGCCCUGCUUCCAGGAAAAGCCUCUAAGCAUCAGGUAACAUCAAAUCGUACCCCAAACCGACACAGGUGGUCAGGUAGAGAAUACCAAGGCGCUUGAGAGAACUCGGGUGAAGGAACUAGGCAAAAUGGUGCCGUAACUUCGGGAGAAGGCACGCUGAUAUGUAGGUGAAGUCCCUCGCGGAUGGAGCUGAAAUCAGUCGAAGAUACCAGCUGGCUGCAACUGUUUAUUAAAAACACAGCACUGUGCAAACACGAAAGUGGACGUAUACGGUGUGACGCCUGCCCGGUGCCGGAAGGUUAAUUGAUGGGGUCAGCGCAAGCGAAGCUCUUGAUCGAAGCCCCGGUAAACGGCGGCCGUAACUAUAACGGUCCUAAGGUAGCGAAAUUCCUUGUCGGGUAAGUUCCGACCUGCACGAAUGGCGUAAUGAUGGCCAGGCUGUCUCCACCCGAGACUCAGUGAAAUUGAACUCGCUGUGAAGAUGCAGUGUACCCGCGGCAAGACGGAAAGACCCCGUGAACCUUUACUAUAGCUUGACACUGAACAUUGAGCCUUGAUGUGUAGGAUAGGUGGGAGGCUUUGAAGUGUGGACGCCAGUCUGCAUGGAGCCGACCUUGAAAUACCACCCUUUAAUGUUUGAUGUUCUAACGUUGACCCGUGAUCCGGGUUGCGGACAGUGUCUGGUGGGUAGUUUGACUGGGGCGGUCUCCUCCUAAAGAGUAACGGAGGAGCACGAAGGUUGGCUAAUCCUGGUCGGACAUCAGGAGGUUAGUGCAAUGGCAUAAGCCAGCUUGACUGCGAGCGUGACGGCGCGAGCAGGUGCGAAAGCAGGUCAUAGUGAUCCGGUGGUUCUGAAUGGAAGGGCCAUCGCUCAACGGAUAAAAGGUACUCCGGGGAUAACAGGCUGAUACCGCCCAAGAGUUCAUAUCGACGGCGGUGUUUGGCACCUCGAUGUCGGCUCAUCACAUCCUGGGGCUGAAGUAGGUCCCAAGGGUAUGGCUGUUCGCCAUUUAAAGUGGUACGCGAGCUGGGUUUAGAACGUCGUGAGACAGUUCGGUCCCUAUCUGCCGUGGGCGCUGGAGAACUGAGGGGGGCUGCUCCUAGUACGAGAGGACCGGAGUGGACGCAUCACUGGUGUUCGGGUUGUCAUGCCAAUGGCACUGCCCGGUAGCUAAAUGCGGAAGAGAUAAGUGCUGAAAGCAUCUAAGCACGAAACUUGCCCCGAGAUGAGUUCUCCCUGACUCCUUGAGAGUCCUGAAGGAACGUUGAAGACGACGACGUUGAUAGGCCGGGUGUGUAAGCGCAGCGAUGCGUUGAGCUAACCGGUACUAAUGAACCGUGAGGCUUAACCUU
Molecule: ribosomal RNA, 1675 nt
Filed under: Escherichia coli
Lineage: Bacteria; Pseudomonadati; Pseudomonadota; Gammaproteobacteria; Enterobacterales; Enterobacteriaceae
Description: bacterial LSU rRNA
Rfam family: Bacterial large subunit ribosomal RNA
Source: RNAcentral